This 252-nucleotide ribosomal RNA is filed under the name uncultured bacterium. RNAcentral's name for it is "partial 16S ribosomal RNA". It matches the Rfam family "Bacterial small subunit ribosomal RNA", at positions 524 to 776 of the family's 1533-position model. The record is from RNAcentral.
UACGGAGGGUGCAAGCGUUGUCCGGAAUCACUGGGCGUAAGGGCGCGUAGGCGGCUCAUGAAGGCUGUGGUGAAAGUCCGGGGCUCAACCUCGGAUCGGCCGUGGCGACUCGUGGGCUGGAGCACUGUAGAGGCGGGUGGAAUUCCGGGUGUAGCGGUGGAAUGCGUAGAGAUCCGGAAGAACACCAGUGGCGAAGGCGGCCCGCUGGGCAGUGGCUGACGCUGAGGCGCGACAGCGUGGGGAGCAAACAGG